RNAcentral lists this long non-coding RNA (518 nucleotides) under Elaeis guineensis (African oil palm). RNAcentral's name for it is "long non-coding RNA (EGUI_LNC046040)". Lineage: Eukaryota; Viridiplantae; Streptophyta; Magnoliopsida; Arecales; Arecaceae. The record is from RNAcentral.
UUGACAGUCACACUAUCAUCUUUCCACAUCUUAUAUAUGAUCCUUUCCUCCUCGGAAGCAUAUUUUUUAAGAGAAUCUGGAGCAGGUGUAUCCAAAAUGUAAAAGAUUUUCUUCUGGGUGAGAAUAAUUCUCAAGUUUCUUAACCAGUCGACAAAGUUGGGUUUGAUCAACUUAUUAGUAUCUAGGAUACCUCUAAGGGACAGUGAGGAUGCUAUAAGUGUAGUUAAUCUAUAAUAACAAGAACAUAAUAUAAGCAGACAACUCAUGAAGAUAUUCAUAACUAGACUAGAACUUUUAUCUAAUUGUGUCUCCCACUAUUUUAUCGAACUUCAUAGCCCUCAAAUAUGAAAAUCGAGAAAUAUACUAAUGUUUCUUAGUAGGGUUGAGAUCUCUAUUCCUCACAAACAUCUUGUAGAUAGCACAACAAGUAUUCAUGAGUUCAAGAGUAGGUAACUCUUUACCAAUUAUACCUUUACAAUUCUCAACAUCUUUCAUUCUGACCUCUAGAUCACAUAUAG